RNAcentral lists this ribosomal RNA (447 nucleotides) under uncultured bacterium. RNAcentral describes it as "bacterial SSU rRNA". It matches the Rfam family "Bacterial small subunit ribosomal RNA", at positions 355 to 825 of the family's 1533-position model. The record is from RNAcentral.
UGGGGAAUAUUGGACAAUGGGCGAAAGCCUGAUCCAGCCAUGCCGCGUGAGUGACGAAGGCCUUAGGGUUGUAAAACUCUUUCGUCGGGGACGAUAAUGACGGUACCCGAAGAAGAAGCUCCGGCUAACUUCGUGCCAGCAGCCGCGGUAAUACGAAGGGAGCUAGCGUUGUUCGGAAUCACUGGGCGUAAAGCGCACGUAGGCGGAUAGUUAAGUCAGGGGUGAAAUCCUGGGGCUCAACCUCGGAACUGCCUUUGAUACUGCGGAUCUCGAGUCCGAUAGAGGUGAGUGGAAUUCCUAGUGUAGAGGUGAAAUUCGUAGAUAUUAGGAAGAACACCGGUGGCGAAGGCGGCUCACUGGAUCGGUACUGACGCUGAGGUGCGAAAGCGUGGGGAGCAAACAGGAUUAGAUACCCGUGUAGUCCCUGAGCGGGCUGGCAAGGCGCAU